UGCUCCAUAUUUAGCUUUGGGCAAAUUGUGUUUCAUCUGUAGAAUACACUCACUUUCCUUAUAUGGCGCAUGCCAAGGCUGCAACGAGAAAAUUAUGAGAAAGUUAGACAUGCAAUGUUCUCCACAUAUGUGAGAUUCCCCUCUUUUGUCCCCUUCUGCCCCAGAGCCUGUGCCUCACCCUGAGAUCCUGGCAAAGUCACAGUCUAUCACACCAGACCUGUGUAACAUCACCCUGGAGUGUAGGGCUCCAGGGACCACAGAGUACCUGAAUGUGACUUGGGAGAGCAAGGGCCUCCUCAGAGAGCUGCAGAGAGAAACACCAGGACCAGCCUCCAACCCCUGGACACUGGCUGUGAACCUGCCCCUGUGCCAGUGCAACACCCACCUCACCUGUGUGGUCAGCAACCAGGCAGAUCAGAAAGCUGCAAUCUUAGACUUUAGAAAAGUCUGUGUCCAAGGUGAGUGGUGAGUGUAGCCUGCAGGAUAGGAGGGGCUGCCCAAUCUCAGGUAGCACUGGGGUCUGAGGGUUCUGGGCUCUCUUCUCUGCCAUGUGCAUUACCACCACCUUCCAUGUGCUCACCACACACAGCAGUGUGGGAGUCACAUCCACCUCCGUUCUGCCUUUAAUCAUCUCUCCCAUCCGUACCCUCCUCGCCGCAUCCCCACCAUGUCCCUGCCGAUUCGGACAGCUCUCCCACCCCAUCCAUCCUCCACUGAACAUCCAGAGUGGGCUUUGGGAGAAGUGGGUCAAAUUGGGUUGUUGUCUGUGUCUUCUGUGUGAUCUGGCCUGCAGUUACUCCCCCAUGGAAUUCGGGGCUCAGAUGCUCCUUUGCCCAUGUUUCUGGCUUCACCUGUGCACUUCACACCAAACUCCUUUCUUUCAUUUCCCAAAAUAUGUCUUGUUUUCCGUAAGCUUCUGAGCUUCAGAACAUGCUGUUUCUUACCCCCAUCAGCCCUCCCACACCCAGUGGCCGACACUUCCUCUUUUAUUCCUUUCCAAGCAUUUCCCUAAGCUAUGACAGGCUUUAUGGGCACAAGACAGAUGCAGUCACACAGGGUCCCACACUUCACAGGAUUCCACAAUGGGUUAAAACUCUGCUAUUCCUUCCUUGAAGUUUUAAUCCUUUUUAAUCAAGGGAAUUUAAAUUUGCAUUGCACAGGGCCCUGAAAAUGAAAAUGAUGUAUCGAGUUCUGCCCUCAGGCCCCACCUCCUUAGGGAGCCACCCACGGCACCUCACACUGAGUAGUAAUGACGUGUUUAUGUCACUGUCUGCCCUGUGGACUGCAAUGUCUUGAUGUUUUCCUUUGGAUCCCUGUGCCAAGCACAGCUCCUGGCAACAUUUGCUCACAAUCAGUGUUCACUGAAUGAAUGAUACCCUGCGUGCAGCCUCAUCCUCUCCAACCCUCCCUCCAGGAGCUGCUGGGGGAUCUGAUGUGUCAGCAUCACUUUAAACUGCCUGUCACCUCCUCUCUCACCCCCAUCCUGGAGUGUUCAGCAUUUAGCAUGACCACAAGGCCCUCUGGGCACAGACUCCUGCCUCCAUCUGACUCCCCUUGCCACAGCUCCUCCCUCCUCCGUCUCUCUCCUGCUACAGCGGGGUGCCGGCAACUCCCAGGGCUCGUGUUUUGACACAAACAUUUCCUGAACUUGGUGCUCCUGUUUCCUUGAAUCCCUACCCUGAAUAUCUGAGAAUCUCACAUUCAGUUUAGCCAGCACCUCCUCUGGGAGGCCCUCCCUGAAGACCUUAUAUAAGGUGGAAACCACUAUUGCAGCUGUGAUCCUUCUGUCUGUAAGUUGGUAUUUUCUGUCUUCCUUCCUGUGUGCUGGGCUGCUGUGGACAUUGUCUUGUGCUUCUCAGCAUCCCUGGUACCAAGCAGCAGCUCCUAACCAGUUGAAUGAAUGGAUCUGCCAUGCUCCUCCCUCUUCAGCUUUGGCACCGGGCUCCUUCCCACUGCUCUACCUGCUUUCUCCCUCUGUCUCCUCUUGGUAAUGAGCAUCUCAAGUUAUCUCCUGCCUUAACAUUUUCCACUCUCCCCAUGUGACAGAAACAGGUUCAUACAAACAGGAUAUGGUUAGACUGCUCCCAGCCAUCCUAGGGGCUGUUGUGAGUAUGCUCUUGGUCCUGGGAACUGGGCUGUGUCUUUUGAAGACAUGUGGGAAGAAGAAGAAGAAGAUGAUGAAUAUAGGAAGAGGCAAGUUGCAUUUCUCCUUCCAUACCCAGACACCUCCCCUGCCUCACUAGAACCUCACCUUCCUUUCUCCUGAAUUUUUCUUCCAGGGAGUGGACUCUGCAGAGGGAUGGUAGGUGUGGCCUUGGCCUUGGGGUUCAUGGCAGUGGGGAGGGAUACAGUUUUCUACGGCACAGAUUCAAGCUUUGAUUUUCUCAGGUAGAGAAUUGUAGGAGAACCAUGGGGUCGAUGAUGAUGUCAAUCAAUAUGAAGAUCUCAGGCAGCAAGUGUCUCCGAAGGGGCAUCAGUGAACAACAUCUGGAAAAAAGCGUCUCUCACUCCUAUCUGCAGUGAGGUUCAUUAUCAUUGACCAGGCCAGGCCAUUAAGAUCAUUCGAUUGGAGGAAGCAAGAGGAUCUGACACUCCCAGGACACCUGUACUCUGAGCCUGAAGCCUGCAGCCCCCGCGUUUCCCAGUGCUGGUUCAGUUCCCAAUGCCCCAUCUGUGUUACUCUGAUCUCAUAGCCACAGUUCUAUGUACCCAUGGCCUGUUUGCAUUCUGUGACACCUCCCAAAGAUGCACUUACACUUGAGCAAAGAUUCUUCCCCUUGUCAUUGACAUUGCUCCUGACCGCUCUCUUUCAGAAGCCUUCCCAAGGGGACCCUGUCUGAUUGCAAAGGUGGCAAAUCCCCACCACCUCUGCCAUGUCACUGGUGUGUGUAAUUCUGAGGACACAAGCCCAGACAUGGGAACUGUGCAGAGGUGUUGACUGUGCUGCAGAGGUGGGACAUAGAACCUGGCUUCUGGAUGAUGAGUUAGAGGAUAUCAUGGGUGGGUAGGAGCCCAUAAAGGAACAGGUCGAGGCUUCCUUUGCAGAUUUUGUGUAGGGCUCCCUUGGGGGUAUCAGGCAGUGUGUGUGUGCAUGCAGGUUGGUGGGUGGGGGAAGGGUGUCUAGUGCACAUUAUACAACUGAACCAAAGCCACCUUUCUUUUCUCCUGUGGAUCCAAACUCAACUUCCUGUAGAGUGGAAAGAGAAUUUUGUAUCAUCUCAAAACCUUCCUCGUCUCUGUGUCUCAGAGAAUGACCCUAAGAGGCCACAGUUGGAGGUUGUCUUAGGAAAACAGCCUCAGCUCUUUCCUUGGCCUAGUAUAGGGCACUUGGCUAUAAGAACAGAAGUGUGAUAUCCUUCCACACCCCCUUGAUGAGGGCUACUUGGGCUCUGAUGGGUGAAGCUGUUGAGAAGGUCUGACCCAGCCCUCUCCAACCUCUUCUUAUUCUGACCCUUAAUACCCCAGUAGCCAUGCUGGCCCCAAACCCUAAGUCAUCCACUUCUUGCUCACUUGCAUCCCUCUGCCUGAAACGAAAGUUCCUUCUCCCUGUUCCUCACCCUCACUCCUGCCUGCUGAAAUACCACUGUGAUGCUCGAAGCUCUUCCCAAGAUGCUUGUUCCAUGGAGCUCUCUGGAUCUCAAAGGUUUAAACAUGAUCUCUCCCACAUCUGACUUUUCUGAACACUUUGGACACUAUGUACAGCUCCUGCCACAGGAACUGUGUCCUGGGAAGGUCAUGUGUCUUCCUGUAGGACUAACCUGGGCUCUCUCAGGAGGAUGUGGGGCUGUGGGGGAAUAGGGCUGAGGAGACAAGUACUUCUUGGUGCAAAGGGUCUGGGCCACCUUGUUCCCAUCCCAUGGGGUCAGCAGAGGCAGAUGCAGCACAGGGGUUACUGACAGACUGUCUGGUGUGGCUCUACUUGGAAACAGGAGUGGACACAAUGACCUCCCUUGACUAUGCAUGGCCCGAGGUCCUAAUUGGAGACUUCCUUACUCCCUUAUCCACCUCUUAUUAUGAACCUGGCCAUUCUUCCACCAUGGUAUGUGGGUGUUUCUUUCCUCCUGAGGGGUCCUCAGCUUCUUGCAGCCUCUGCCUCCUAUUUGAGUCCCAGCUUUUACGCAGAGAUGGGCUAACUCUAGUACCACGAGCUGCUGUGGCAUGUCUGGUGGCCCAGAUCCUUGGGCCUCUUAGUUUCCAUCAUGGCUCAGGUGAGCUCAUUUCCUCAUUGCCACCCACAGAAAACAAAGAUCUGAACAGAGUCCCUGCUAAGAGAUGGAGCACUAGGACAUAAUGCUAGGUGCCUACUGGAUGGUGGGCGGAUGAGGCAGGAGGGAGAAGAUCCAUAGCAGGGCUUCAUUUCUGCCGUCUUUCCCUUUAGGCUGAGCAGAAGGCUAAGGGUGUACCAGUCUCCUCACUGGCUUCCCAGGUGAGUGGACAUUACUGGGUAUCAGUGCACAUUAGCCCUGGGGCAGCGUAAGAUGUGAUCACCCAACUGACCUUCCCAUUGCACCAAAGGCAACAAAAAACCAAACCAAACAAACAAAAAAGAGGAACAAGGCUUUUGAGGUUGUUUGAACCAGUUUUUGUUCCAGGCACUUUGCAAGUAUUAUUCUUUUUAGUUAUUUUUUAAAUACAUUUUUAAUUUUAAAAUA
This is a non-coding RNA of Macaca mulatta (Rhesus monkey), 4652 nucleotides long. Lineage: Eukaryota; Metazoa; Chordata; Mammalia; Primates; Cercopithecidae. The record is from RefSeq and is a predicted model, not a curated record.